Homo sapiens (human) is the source of this 101-nucleotide ribosomal RNA. Lineage: Eukaryota; Metazoa; Chordata; Mammalia; Primates; Hominidae. The record is from Rfam.
UCUACAGCCAUACCACCCUGAACGCACCCGAUCUCAUCUGAUCUCGCUAGCAGGGUCGGUCCUGGUUAGUACUUGGAUGGGAGAAUUGGGAGUAAGAAGAA